CUCUUGAUCAUCCUAAUUCACUUGCAUGAUUGAACAGCAUGAUUUCGUGGCCUAGAAUAUACUUACAAAUGAAAUAGGGACUCUUUCUUGCAAUCCAAGAGUCUCCUAAGUUUAGAGGUGGUAGAGGGAGAUGGAUGGUAGGCAAUCAAAUGGAUCAAUGAUCUCUCUCCUUUUUGAUCUCCUUGUUUUAUUAUAGGGGUGAUUGAAGGAGUUAUUAGUAAUGAUAACUGCACAAGAUAGUUAGCACCAAGUGGUACAUCCUCCCACUUGAACCAAGCAUAGGCAUACCCACAUGGUGCUCAACCAGGACUAAUAUCUUCCACUCACAAAUGAUGGGCAUGACCAUGCCUUUGAUAUGUCAAAUGUGUCGGGUUCCGGGUCACGCAAUGAAAGACUGAAUUUCAAAAUUUUAUGAAAUCCAAUAAACUUGAAAACCAAAAGCUUAGGAUCUCCCCUGGUGUAUUCAAUAAAACAUAUAUGCCUAUAAGUGAGGUCUAGAUAUGAAACCUUAGGUCGGUGAAGAAUAGAAGAAGCCGGUAUCCUUUCUUUUCCAUGAAAUACCUAAACAUUUGCCUUCCAAUAGGUGAGCCACAUGAAAUCAGGAUCAAGAAAAUGCUCUGACAGAACCUUGCCUUAUCAAAUUCUGCUCCCGAGAGCUAUCUUGCCUUGCUAGGA
Molecule: long non-coding RNA, 675 nt
Filed under: Elaeis guineensis (African oil palm)
Lineage: Eukaryota; Viridiplantae; Streptophyta; Magnoliopsida; Arecales; Arecaceae
Description: long non-coding RNA (EGUI_LNC031226)
Source: RNAcentral